GGGGGUGUUCCGGUUUCGACUGGUACGGUUCGGGGUACAGGCUGCAGGUGGAGUGUCGAUCUCCUGAUUCGGCAAACAUUUAACUGCCGACAACGACAGUUACGAAUACGCCUUAGCUGCGUAAUCGCGUGGCGCCGUUCCGCCGCUCUGAGGGGCGGUUGCCGCGUUGCAAUCAGGGCUGGCUGUUCACCCGCUUCCGGCGGGCGGGCAGUGAGAUAUUCCGGAAUACGGAGGGGCCGCUUGCCGGGCCGCCCAGCCCUUCCCGACAAUAUAAUGCACGGCUAAACCUGUAGACGUUUGUAUUUCGCGUAUUAGGACGCGGGUUCGACUCCCGCCACCUCCAAUU
Molecule: transfer-messenger RNA, 346 nt
Filed under: Treponema sp.
Lineage: Bacteria; Pseudomonadati; Spirochaetota; Spirochaetia; Treponematales; Treponemataceae
Rfam family: transfer-messenger RNA
About the family: Bacterial tmRNA, also known as 10Sa RNA or SsrA, is named for its dual tRNA and mRNA-like properties. Its role is to liberate the mRNA from a stalled ribosome. To accomplish this part of the tmRNA is used as a reading frame that ends in a translation stop signal.
Source: RNAcentral